RNAcentral lists this ribosomal RNA (644 nucleotides) under uncultured bacterium. RNAcentral describes it as "bacterial SSU rRNA". It matches the Rfam family "Bacterial small subunit ribosomal RNA", at positions 1 to 653 of the family's 1533-position model. The record is from RNAcentral.
CCCUUAGAGUUUGAUCCUGGCUCAGGACGAACGCUGGCGGCGUGCUUAACACAUGCAAGUCGAACGAGAUCCAGCCGAGCCUUCGGGCAAAGCGAAGAUCUAGUGGCGAACGGGUGCGUAACACGUGAGAAACCUGCCCCGGACUUGGGAAUAACAGUCGGAAACGGCUGCUAAUACCGAAUACCUUCGGAGCGUCGCAUGGCGCACCGAAGAAAGCUUUUGCGGUUUGGGAGGGUCUCGCGGCCUAUCAGCUAGUUGGCGAGGUAACGGCUCACCAAGGCAUCGACGGGUAGCUGGUCUGAGAGGAUGAUCAGCCACACUGGGACUGAGACACGGCCCAGACUCCUACGGGAGGCAGCAGUGGGGAAUAUUGCACAAUGGGCGAAAGCCUGAUGCAGCAACGCCGCGUGCGGGAAGAAGGCCCUAGGGUUGUAAACCGCUUUCAGCAGGGAAGAAAAUGACGGUACCUGCAGAAGAAGGUGCGGCCAACUACGUGCCAGCAGCCGCGGUGACACGUAGGCACCAAGCGUUGUCCGGAUUUAUUGGGCGUAAAGAGCUCGUAGGCGGUUCAGUAAGUCGGGGUGUGAAAACUCUGGGCUCAACCCAGAGAGGCCACCCGAUACUGCUGUGACUUGAGUACGGUA